RNAcentral lists this ribosomal RNA (305 nucleotides) under uncultured bacterium. RNAcentral's name for it is "bacterial SSU rRNA". It matches the Rfam family "Bacterial small subunit ribosomal RNA", at positions 333 to 655 of the family's 1533-position model. The record is from RNAcentral.
UACUUCCUACGGGGGGCAGCAGUGGGGAAUAUUGCACAAUGGGGGAAACCCUGAUGCAGCGACGCCGCGUGAGUGAAGAAGUAUCUCGGUAUGUAAAGCUCUAUCAGCAGGAAAGAUAAUGACGGUACCUGACUAAGAAGCCCCGGCUAACUAUGUGCCAGCAGCCGCGGUAAUACGUAGGGGGCAAGCGUUAUCCGGAUUUACUGGGUGUAAAGGGAGCGUAGACGGCAGCGCAAGUCUGGAGUGAAAUGCCGGGGCCCAACCCCGGAACUGCUCUGGAAACUGUGAAGCUGGAGUGCAGGCGG